Bufo bufo (common toad) is the source of this 167-nucleotide long non-coding RNA. RefSeq lists it as uncharacterized. The transcript has 3 exons. The record is from RefSeq and is a predicted model, not a curated record. NCBI's taxonomy places the organism in Eukaryota, Metazoa, Chordata, Amphibia, Anura, Bufonidae.
UUGAUUCACUUUUGUUAGUGGGUUUGUUAGGCCCAUUUCACACUGGCGAGAAUUCCACGUGGGUCCAAUGCGUGAGGGGAACGCAUUGCACCCGCACUGAAUCCGGACACAUUCAUUUAUAUUGUGCUGUGCACAUGAGCGGUGAUUUUCACGCAUUACUUGUGCUU